This is an RNA transcript of Orcinus orca (killer whale), 6129 nucleotides long. It is a transcript of the gene named multifunctional ROCO family signaling regulator 1, with no coding region annotated. Lineage: Eukaryota; Metazoa; Chordata; Mammalia; Artiodactyla; Delphinidae. The transcript has 6 exons. The record is from RefSeq and is a predicted model, not a curated record.
AUGGCUGGGACGGACAGCGGGAACCUGAAGACGGUGAGGCUGUGGCGGGACGCAGCCCUGCGCGCCAGGAAGCUGCGGAGCAACCUGCGGCAGCUCAGCCUCAGCGCGGCCGGGGGCUGCCCGGGGACCGACCAGCUCGACUCUCCCGACGCGCCCCAGCUUGUGCUGCCGGCCAACAUCGGGGACAUUGAGGUGCUGAACCUGGGGAACAACGGCCUGGAGGAGGUGCCCGACGGGCUGGGCUCGGCGCUGGGCAGCCUCCGCGUCCUGGUCCUGCGCCGUAACCGCUUCGCCCGGCUGCCCCCAGCGGUGGCCGAGCUGGGCCAUCACCUAACCGAGCUGGACGUGAGCCACAACCGGCUGAGCGUCCUAAGCGCCGAGGUGGUGAGCGCCCUGCGCGAGCUGAGGAAGCUCAACCUCAGCCACAACCAGCUGCCCGCCCUGCCCGCCCAGCUGGGUGCGCUGGUCCACCUGGAGGAGCUAGACGUCAGCUUUAACCGCCUGGCGCACCUGCCCGACUCCCUCUCCUGCCUCUCCCGCCUGCGCACCCUCGACGUGGACCACAACCAGCUCACGGCUUUUCCGUGGCAGCUGCUGCAGCUGGCGGCCCUGGAGGAGCUCGACGUGUCCAGCAACCGGCUGCGGGGCCUACCUGAGGAUAUCAGUGCCCUGCGUGCCCUCAAGAUCCUCUGGCUGAGCGGGACCGAGCUUGGCACCCUGCCCAGCGGCUUCUGCGAGCUGGCCAGCCUGGAGAGCCUCAUGCUGGACAACAACGGGCUGCAGGCUUUACCCGCCCAGUUCAGCCGCCUGCAGCGACUCAAGAUGCUCAACCUCUCUUCCAACCUCUUGGAGGAGUUCCCUGCCGCGCUGCUGCCCCUGGCUGGUCUGGAGGAGCUCUACCUUAGUCGCAACCAGCUCACUUCCGUGCCAUCCCUGAUCUCGGGCCUGGGCCGUCUUCUCACCCUGUGGCUGGAUAAUAACCGGCUCCGCUAUCUGCCUGACUCCAUCGUGGAGCUCACGGGCCUGGAGGAGCUGGUCCUGCAGGGGAACCAGAUCGCUGUGCUGCCAGACAACUUUGGCCGGCUCUCCCGGGUGGGCCUGUGGAAGAUCAGGGACAACCCGCUGAUCCAGCCCCCCUACGAGGUCUGUAUGAAGGGGAUCCCCUACAUCGCAGCUUACCAGAAGGAGCUGGCUCAUUCCCAGCCGGCGGUCCAGCCCCGCCUCAAGCUGCUCCUGAUGGGCCAUAAAGCUGCAGGAAAGACCCUGCUCCGUCGCUGCCUCACAGAGGACAGAGUGGAGGGGAACCAAGGAGGAGGGGACAAGGAGAAGAGCCACCCGCCUUCACCUCCUCCCGUGAGCAAGGGCAUCGAGGUGACCAGCUGGACAGCGGAUGCCUCCCGGGGCCUGCGGUUCAUCGUGUAUGACUUAGCCGGGGAUGACAGUUAUGAGGUGAUUCAGCCCUUCUUCCUCUCCCCGGGGGCCCUUUAUGUGCUGGUGGUGAACUUGGCCACCUAUGAGCCGCUCCGCUUUCCCACCACCGUGGGCUCCUUCCUGCAUCGGGUAGGGGCCCGGGUGCCUCACGCCGUGGUGUGCCUUGUGGGCACGCACGCCGACCUCUGCGGGGAGCAGGAGCUGGAGGAGAAGUGUCUGGACAUCCACCGCCAGAUCGCCCUGCAGGAGAAGCAUGACGCUGAGGGGCUGAGCCGGCUGGCCCAGGUGGUGGAUGAGGCACUGGCCCGGGACUUUGAGCUCCGCUCCGCCAGCCCCCAUGCAGCCUACUACGGUGUGUCCGACAAGAACCUUCGGCGGCGCAAGGCCCACUUUCAGUACCUGCUCAACCACCGGCUGCAGAUCCUCUCCCCUGUGCUGCCCGUGAGCUGCAGGGACCCACGCCAUAUACAGCGCCUGCGGGACAAACUGCUCUCAGUGGCCGAGCACCGGGAAAUCUUCCCCAACCUCCACAGAGUACUGCCUCGGUCCUGGCAGGUGCUGGAGGAGCUGCACUUCCAGCCCCCUCAGGCGCAGCGGCUCUGGCUCAGCUGGUGGGACUCGGCUCGCCUGGGCCUGCAGGCCGGCCUGACCGAGGACCGGCUGCAGAGCGCCCUCUCCUACCUGCACGAGAGCGGCAAGCUGCUCUACUUUGAGGACAGCCCGGCCCUCAAGGAGCACGUCUUCCACAACCUCUCCCGCCUCAUCGACAUCCUCAACGUCUUCUUCCAGAGGGAUCCUUCCUUGCUGCUGCAUAAGCUGCUCCUGGGGACCAGCGGCGAGGGCGAGGCUGAGAGCCGGGGUGGAAGCUCCCCGCUGAUGGCGCCGCCCGCCCCAAGCCAGGAUGCGCUCCGGGCCACCCAGCUCCAUCAUUACGUGGAAGGCUUUCUGCUGCAUGGGCUCCUGCCGGCCCACGUCAUCCGGCUGCUGCUGAAGCCUCACAUCCAGGCUCAGCAGGACCUGCAGCUCCUGCUGGAGCUGCUGGAGAAGAUGGGACUCUGUUACUGCCUCAACAAAGCCAAGGGCAAGCCUCUGAAUGGGUCCACGGCCUGGUACAAGUUCCCGUGCUAUGUGCAGAACGAGGUGCCCCACGCGGAGGCCUGGAUUAACGGGACCAACCUGGCCGGGCAGUCCUUUGUGGCUGAGCAGUUGCAGAUUGAAUAUAGUUUUCCCUUCACCUUUCCACCCAGCUUGUUUGCACGCUACAGCGUCCAGAUCAACAGCCAUGUGGUGCACAGGUCGGAUGGCAAACUUCAGAUCUUUGCAUACAGAGGGAAAGUCCCUGUGGUGGUGAGUUACAGACCUGCCAAGGGGGUCCUGCAGCCGGACACCCUGUCCAUUGCCAGCCACGCAUCCUUACCGAACAUAUGGACGGCAUGGCAAGCCAUAACCCCCUUAGUAGAGGAACUGAAUGUCCUACUUCAGGAAUGGCCUGGACUGCACUACACUGUGCACAUUCUUUGUUCUAAGUGCCUUAAGAGAGGGUCACCCAAUCCACACGCUUUCCCAGGAAAGAUUUCAUAUGGACAUGAGAAGUGUAUGCCUGUCUGCAGCGAGGUGAACAUUCCUGGACUAUCCUCCUUGCUGAACAAGGGUUGGGAGUUGCUGAGUCAGCCCAGACCAGAAGGCGUGGCAGAGAUCAUUUGCCCCAAGAAUGGCAGCGAGCGAGUGAAUGUUGCCUUGGUUUACCCACCCACACCGACUGUGAUCAGCCCAUGUUCCAAGUAUCUCCAUACUUUCUUGGACAAUUAAGUGGAAAAGAUAGUCUUCUUUCCCUUAUGCCAUCAUUUUUACUGUACCCAAUCUGUGACUUUAGGAGCACCAAUUUUUAAGGGUGCCCUUGAUUACGUAUCCUUGUGUUUCUCAGUCUUACUAGCGGCUCAGGGGAGCAGACAGCCAGACACAGCUGCCUGCAUUUCUCAAGGAAGAACGUUGGUGAAAAGCACAGAAACCAGUGACUUUUAUGGCUGUGGAAUUUCCAUGGAGAAAAGAGCAUCAGAACGCACCUGGACCAUCUUUUGUCCCCGGCAAACCCUCCACACUCCCUGGCGUGUUCUGUGAAUUUGAGUGCAUGUGUGUUCAGGGUGCUUUCAGGGAGGAAGCACACCUAGCCUCUAGACAAGGUGGGGAGAGGCAGGGCGGGGCGGGGGGGGGGAGGAUGAGAGAGACUGUGGAGCAAAUGUUUUACAACCUGAACCUCAGAACUGUGAUCCUCCAAGGAGAGCGCUACUUGAAGAAAAAAAAAAAAAAGUCGAAUGGCUUCUCAGGGAUUUUAUUUUCCGUGCACAUAUAAGCCAUAAUUCCAGUACAGGUGGCAGUAUUUAGAGCACUCAGAUUUCAGUUCUGUUAAAUGUGAAAGAGAGAUCGACUGACCAUUCAUUGCUGUUCUGUAACUAGUGUAAAAUAUGUAUAUGUUUAUCUUUAUUUUUAUAAUAUGCAAAUACAUUUAAAUUUAUACAGUUUGAAGCUUCUAGAGUUAGUUCACACUGGGUGCAAUAUUCUGAUGAGAACUGUGCCAAGAUGGGGCUGAUUUCUUAUUUUAGUAUAGGACCUUUUGUUUAUUCUUUAAUUCUUUGCAGAUUAAAAAAAAGAUACCUAUCUCUCUGCCCAUGGAUUAAGGGUUGGUUCAUAGAGUCUGACGAUAAUCAGCAAGAACUUUGAACAUGCAUUUCAGGUCAGGCGGUGUCCGUCCUUUUAAAUAAAGGUCCCUGCCUGUAAACUGUUGGGCAGGGUAGGAGGAUUUUUCCUUUUCUUUGCCCCCACAUAUCACUAGUGUUGGGCAGAGUCUUCCUUGCUCCGGGCUUUGUGAUGACUGUGAGUUGUUACUGGGUGAUAGUCUGACAGAGGCCUGGGGAUUAAGAUUCUUCAGGGGACAGGGAUCAAGGGAUCCACAAAUCCAAGGAAAAGCAGAGUUUUGCAAUAGCUUCAGAUAAUCAGGAGUCAGUUCUGGAGCAUGUAAAGAGCUCUGCUAAUAAGUCCUUUCUUUUCUGCCCCCAGAAAAGAGUCUGUGAAAUUUAGUAGAGCACUCUGAAGGCCUCCACAUCUGGUGUAAGACCGAAAGCUAGCGAGUUGCCUAACUGGAGAGCAUAAGCCCACAUUGGUUAUUUUAUAAAUACAGAGCCUCUGAUUGGAUGGUCUACUGCCAAGAACUAGUAAAACCCUGGUUUUAAAAUCUCUGCGAGGUAAAACUUAAAAAGCCAACCAACCAAACUGCUCUCUCUUCUCCUCACCGGGGCCAAACAGCAUCCGCUGCAAUAGUAACAACAUUCUUUGAAGAGUGUGCCUGACUCUGUUUACAUCUGCCUCCUCUGCGUGUUGACUGAAAAUGUGUAAAACUGUUUCUCACCCCUGUAAGGCAAGAAAAAUGAGUCAGCUGGUAUUAUUCUUUUACUUCUUCUAUAAAGUAGUGACUCUUGGAAUGCCACAGUAUACGACGUCCCCACUUAUUUUUGAAAGAAGUAACAAGCAAGUGGCUGCAUUGUGAAAAAUCGCAAAUAAUUUUUGUAGAUUAUUUUGUGCCCCAGGAGGUAACUUUAUUAACUCCAGAACCUCAGUGAAACAAGUAUGACUUCUUAUAAUCAUAAAAUCAAAUGGGAUCAGACUAGUUCUGCAUUUUAAUACUUGAAUAUGACACCUCAAAUUUGCAUUUUCUUUUGGAACAGUCACGAGAUUCACCUUCUUAAUCCUUUUGUCACAGUUCUCCUGUGCGUGUGUGUGUGUGUGUAAGUGUAAACUGAAUGGUAACAUUUAAUUGCUUUAUGGACCAUUGAAUUGUUGGGCAUAAAUGUUUUUUCAAUCGGCACAAACAAUUCCUGAACUGUCAAAUUAACCGACUUUGACCAGGAAAAGUCUUGUAAAUGACUUCAGGCUAACUCCCCAGGGGACCAUAUUAAAUGAAAAUAAAAAAGCUCCUUUGGGUGACAUACCCUGCAAAGUAUGUGCUCUUGUCAUGAACAUAGAUGCCCACAUUCUUAAUAUCUGCUAUUUUUGGACAAGUGAUGUUUUGUGCUGUCAUCUGAACCCUAGAGAAGCAGUAUAAGAAGAAAGUUUGGUGUCACAUAUAUUUUAGCAAAAAGGUCAUCAUGAUAGAGGGUCAUGUGACCAAAAGCAGCUCCAGAAAAGCUUGAGAACUUGCUUCACGGUUGGGGGAGGGUCGGAGAUACAGAAAACAUUCUGCUCUAUAGGAAUUUUCUUCAUUUAUGCAGGAAAUUCCAUUUUCUCUUUCAACACCUGGGAAGACUCAGCCGGGGAGGCUGACAGGCAAUUCGUAAGCACAAGGGGAAUCUUUUCCAACCAAGACGUCCCUGCCUCGCAAACAAAAGCCCUCCAAGUUUGUUAUGGUUUCUAUUCCUGCAUCUUGUGGUAUCAAAACCACUUCCUGGAAUUGUAAAAGUGCUGCCAGAAUAAAUGUUUUUCCCUCUUGCAAGAAAAAACGACAGUGCUUGUAUUUCACACUUGUGCACUGGACUCUUGAAUGAAUAAAAUGGAAAGGGUUUGGUGUCAUUCCUGAUGAGGUGUGUGUUCUCUUUCAUGCCACAGUUUGUGAAUUGUAAUUGUGGUUUCCUAUUUAAUUGUCAUAACCAGGCAGAAAUUUAAAAAAAAAAAAAAAGUUUAAUAAAAACACAAAGAAAUGGUUAAGCA